GGCGGGACGGCCACCGCGGAAGCAGUGGUGUCCGGCUCCGGCUCGGUCACGGUGUCCGCGACGUCCUCUGCCGGUUCGGGUCGCGUCCGGUCGUCCGCCG
RNAcentral lists this transfer RNA (100 nucleotides) under Actinoplanes sp. OR16. RNAcentral describes it as "tRNA-Arg". Lineage: Bacteria; Bacillati; Actinomycetota; Actinomycetes; Micromonosporales; Micromonosporaceae. The record is from RNAcentral.